GGAUGCGAUCAUACCAGCACUAAAGCCCUGGAUCCCAUUAGAACUCCGAAGUUAAGCGUGCUUGGUUGAGAGUAGUACUAGGAUGGGUGACCUCCUGGGAAGUCCUCAUGUUGCAUCCC
Oryza rufipogon (brownbeard rice) is the source of this 119-nucleotide ribosomal RNA. NCBI's taxonomy places the organism in Eukaryota, Viridiplantae, Streptophyta, Magnoliopsida, Poales, Poaceae. The record is from Rfam.